This 460-nucleotide ribosomal RNA is filed under the name uncultured bacterium. RNAcentral describes it as "partial 16S ribosomal RNA". It matches the Rfam family "Bacterial small subunit ribosomal RNA", at positions 338 to 795 of the family's 1533-position model. The record is from RNAcentral.
CCUACGGGGCGCAGCAGUGAGGAAUAUUGGUCAAUGGGCGGGAGCCUGAACCAGCCAUGCCGCGUGAAGGUCAGUGCCCUAUGGGCGUAAAACUUCUUUUGUGCGGGAGCAAUAAUGGUCACGUGUGGCCAGACGAGAGUACCGUACGAAUAAGCAUCGGCUAACUCCGUGCCAGCAGCCGCGGUAAUACGGGGGAUGCAAGCGUUAUCCGGAUUUAUUGGGUUUAAAGGGUGCGUAGGCUGUGAGGUAAGUCAGCGGUGAAAUGCCCCCGCUCAACGGGGUGAAGUGCCAUUGAUACUGCCUUGCUGGAAUGCGGAGGCCGUGGGAGGAAUGUGUGGUGUAGCGGUGAAAUGCAUAGAUAUCACACAGAACACCGAUUGCGAAGGCAUCUCACGAAUCCGCGAUUGACGCUGAUGCACGAAAGCGUGGGUAUCAAACAGGAUUAGAUACCCCUGUAGUC